ACUAAGGAAAAUAGGUUGCCUUAUAUUAGAAGUUGUGCCUAUGAGAGUGAUAGUAGGAAAUGGCAACUACUUAAUGAGUUUGCACAUUUGUCACAAAUUCAAAUGGAAGAUACAAGGAGUUGACUUUGAGGAUGCAGUCAAAAUAACUAAGCAGGGUGGCAAUGGCAUGCUACUUGGGGGUGAUUGGAUGAAAAGGCAAAAUCCAGUCCUACUUGACUUUGUGGAGUAUAAGGUGCAAGUAACUCACAAAGGGAAGAUGGUAGAACUUAAAGGGAUUUACAACCAAACAGAACUUAAGGGCUUAUCAACCAAUGGAGUGAGACAAACGGGCAGACCAUAUGGUCUCACAUAUUCACAAUUUCAGCAGAAGAAGUAAAGGAAUCAAGCUCAUGCCUGCAUCUAUUGACAAGGUGCUAGAAGCAGUUUCCAGAUGCCUUCACGGAACCAACAUCAUUGCCUCCCAAAAGGGGUCAUGACCAUUACAUUUCCCUGAAAUCAAAUGCAAUUCCUGUAAGUAUAGACCCUAUAGAUACAGUUUUUUUCCAAAAAAAUGAAAUAGAGAAACAGGUGAGUGAAAUGCUCAACAAUGGUAUUAUAUAGCCAAGCCAUUCCCCAUUUUCGUCCCCUGUUUUAUUAGUCAAGAAUAAAGAUGGAAGUUGGAGGUUUUGUAUUGACUACAGAGCUCUAAACAAUAUGACUAUAAAAGACAAGUUUCCUAUACCCUUAGUUGAUGAUUUAAUGGAUGAGUUAUGUGAAUCAUGCAUAUACUCCAAAAUAGACUUAAGGGCUGAGUAUCAUCAGAUAAGGGUAGGGGGAAAAGGACAUUUAUAAGACUACUUUUAAAACACAUUUGGGAUUUUAUGAAUUUAGGGUAAUUCCCUUUGGACUAACUAAUGCUCCUACAACCUUUAAGUCACUUAUGAACCAUGUUUUUAAGAAUUAUCUUAGAAAAUUUGUGUCGGUGUUCUUUGAUGAUAUUCUAGUGUACAUCUCUACUAUGGAAGACCAUGUUCUACAUUUGAUAAAGGUACUGGAGAUAUUAAGGAAGGAUCAACUUUUUGCUAAAUUGUCCAAGUGUUCUUUUUGCUAGACCAAGGUAGAAUAUCUGGAGCACAUAAUAACAAGAAAAGGAGUAGCCACAGAUCCUUCAAAGAUUGAGGCUAUAGCUUCUUGGCCUACUCCUAAAAUCAUUAAGGCCCUUAGGGGAUUUCUGGGCUUGAAAGGAUACUAUAGGAGAUUCAUCAGGUCUUACGGGGGUUUAAGCAGACCCUUAGCCAAUUUGUUAAAGAAGAUUAGCUUUCACUGGGAUCCAGAGGCCGAGAGCUCAUUUCAAGCUGUUAAACAGGCCAUGUCCAGUGCACCUAUGCUAGCAUUGGCAGAUUUCAACAAGCCUUUCAUAAUUGAGAUUGAUGCUUGCUCCAAAGCAAUGUGGGCAGUACUAAUGCAAGAGGGCAGACCUAUUGCUUUUUUCCAAUAAAGCUUUAGCUCCUAGACACUUGGGAUUAUCUACAUAUGAGAAAGAAUUCAUGGCCUUACUAUCAGCUGUGGGUUAAUGGAGACAUUAUCUCCAAGGAGUCCAUUUUACAAUGAGAACAGUCCAUCACAGCUUAAAGCAAAGAGUAACCACUGCUCUACAACAGAAGGGUCUGACCAAAUUAUAAGGACUUGAUUAUGAAGUCUAAUAUAAAAGAGGUGUUGAAAAUAAGGACCAAAUUAUCCAGGAGACAGGAGGAAGAAUCAUCAUUAUUUGCCUUAUCUUCUAUUGAUCCUACUUGGAUGAGUGAGGUAGAGCACGGUUAUAAGCAUGAUUCUGAUGCUCACAAAUUGAUCACUAAACCGAUAAAUAAUACUCAUAACAGUUCCAAUUAUACCUUACUACCAGGAAUUUUGAGGUAUGACCAGAAAAUCUACAUUGGAAAGGGAACAGACCUCAUAUCUAAGAUUUUUAAAGCAAUGCACCAGUCUCCCAUGGGUGGACACUCUGAACAGCAGAGUACUUCCAAAAGGAUGAAGAUGAUUUUCUAUUGGCCUAAUAUGAGAAUUAAUGUCCAUAAAUGGGUUUCAAAAUGUGAUACUUGCCAAAGGGUGAAGACUAAAAAUAUACAUACACAUGGGUUGCUAAAACCUAUACCAAUUCCUGAGUUACCUUGGCAGGACAUAGCCAUGGACUGUGUGGAAGGGUUACCUUCUUCAGAACACAGGAAUGCUAUACUAGUGGUGGUGGACAGCCUUACAAAGUAUGGCCAUUUCCUAGCUCUCAAACAUCCCUUCACUGCACAAGGUGUGGCUGAUCUAUUUUUGAGAGACAUCUACAAACUACAUGGGUUACCUAAGUCAAUUAUUUCAGAUAGAGACAGUGUGUUCACUACCCAGUUUUGGCAGAGACUAUUCAAGUCCAUGGGGGUCAAGCUGAACAUGUCCACCUCUUACCAUGCUCAAGCAGAUGGGAAGACGGAGAAAUUAAACAUAUGUUUGGAAGCAUAUCUUAGGGCUAUGGUGUUUACUAAUCCUAAAUAGUGGGUGAAAUGGUUACCAUUAGCAGAAUGGUGGUACAACACUAAUCAUCAUAGUUCCUUAAAGACCACACCUUUUCAGGCUUUGUAUGAUUUUUCCCCACCUCAGAUUCCCUUGGGGUCACUACGGCAACCAUCUUACACACCCGCG
RNAcentral lists this long non-coding RNA (2664 nucleotides) under Nicotiana benthamiana. RNAcentral describes it as "long non-coding RNA (NBEN_LNC036929)". Lineage: Eukaryota; Viridiplantae; Streptophyta; Magnoliopsida; Solanales; Solanaceae. The record is from RNAcentral.